UACGUAGGGGGCGAGCGUUGUCCGGAAUUACUGGGCGUAAAGAGAGCGUAGGCGGCACUACAAGUCUCAUGUGAAAUACCCGGGCUUAACUUGGGGGUUGCAUGGGAAACUGUAGAGCUUGAGUACAGGAGAGGCAAGCGGAAUUCCUAGUGUAGCGGUGAAAUGCAUAGGUAUUAGGAGGAACACCAGUGGCGAAGGCGGCUUGCUGGACUGAAACUGACGCUGAGGCUCGAAAGCGUGGGGAGCAAACAGG
This 253-nucleotide ribosomal RNA is filed under the name uncultured bacterium. Its description in RNAcentral is "partial 16S ribosomal RNA". It matches the Rfam family "Bacterial small subunit ribosomal RNA", at positions 524 to 776 of the family's 1533-position model. The record is from RNAcentral.